RNAcentral lists this ribosomal RNA (174 nucleotides) under uncultured bacterium. RNAcentral's name for it is "partial 16S ribosomal RNA". It matches the Rfam family "Bacterial small subunit ribosomal RNA", at positions 338 to 524 of the family's 1533-position model. The record is from RNAcentral.
CCUACGGGAGGCAGCAGCAGGGAAUAUUGCACAAUGGGCGCAAGCCUGAUGCAGCGACGCCGCGUGAGGGAUGAAUGCCUUCGGGUUGUAAACCUCUUUCAGGAGGGACGAAGCGAAAGUGACGGUACCUCCAGAAGAAGCCCCGGCCAACUACGUGCCAGCAGCCGCGGUAAU